Solea solea (common sole) is the source of this 5063-nucleotide long non-coding RNA. RefSeq lists it as uncharacterized. Lineage: Eukaryota; Metazoa; Chordata; Actinopteri; Pleuronectiformes; Soleidae. The record is from RefSeq and is a predicted model, not a curated record. The transcript has 3 exons.
AUCUUCAUGAAGACUGUCAAAUAGUAGGUGUGAUGGUUUAAUUCUGGGUGGCCGCUGUGUCCCCACUCUUUCUUGGCCGCUGUGCCUACAUCUCUCUGCAUUGUCCAACAUGGCCACGUUCUUUCUAUUCUCCUGCUUUACAUCAGUCAAAUAGCUGAAGGUUGUACAUGGAGCAUUUGCCACAGGUUGGUUUUGUAUGUUCCGGUCCACUUUGUUGGGUGGUCUGUAAAUCUGGUCCUUGUUGGUUAUAUUUUUGUGGAACUGCUGAGCGAGUGAUUUGAAAGAAUGAGGCGACUGAUUCUUUUCUCUUUUCUAUCGUGGCCAUUAAUCUACCGUUAGCCCUAGAACGUUAAAGUAGAUCCUGGUGAUCUACAAAUAUAGUACCUGGCUUUGGAUGGCAGCUGUGCCAGUGCCAUAGCCUUAGUAUGGCCAUACGUCCUUUAAUGCAAGUAGGCCAUGAUCGCUAACUGUGCCCGCGCCUUCGUGAGCUACUUGUGUUCUUGUACGUGUGGCCUUGCGCGUAUAGUCAUGUUACAUAGACAAACAUGGGUGCCUUCCGCGUCCAUGCACAGUAAGUAAACUAACCUGUACUUUUCUUCUAGCAUCAGUCAAGAGGAGCACCGACAUCCCUGCAUGUCCAUCUUAAUUAGAUUGCGUUUUAGUUACAAUAAAAUCUCAAAUGUUAAGUAGUUUUUCUUUCUUGCUUGGCCGCCGUGCCAUUACUAUAUCUAUCUAUAUUACUAUACCUGCUCUGACCUGAGUCUUCAUUCUUCUAUCUUUCUGAUCUGUUUUUCCUAGUGUGUGUGCGUGUGUGUGUGUGUGCGUGAUGACUGACCUGGACUGACGUUUAUCUGACCUUUGGACCAAGACUAAAACUGGAGUUGACUUUACUGCACCAGAAAGGUGAACAACAUUUAUGCUGCAAUACUGACAAGAUGCACACCAAUUAGACGACAAGCAAAUUCAAAUUCUUUCAAAAACAGGUAAAGGUUUUACCUUUCAGGUAAGUAUUAAAGGCCUUUGCCACAUGAUCUUUGUGGGUAAAUCACGUCCACUCAAUUUAUAAAGUUAAUUUGCAUCUAAACAUUUACAAUGCCUGACACAAUGGCAUUACAAUAAUCUCAUUUUUUUUUUCACUGAGUGCAAAGGCCUUUAUUUACACACUGACACAUGCCAAGACUGCUGUCAUGGCAUGUGUGUCUCUCUCUCUCUCUCUCUCUCUCUCUCUCUCUCUCUCUCUCUCUCUCUCUCUCUCUCUCUCUCUCUCUCUCUCUCUCUCUCUCUCUCGCUCUCUCGCUCUCUCUCUCGCUGGUCUGUCUGUCUCUCUCUGUGUCUGUCUCUCUUGCUGUCUGUCUGUCCUGUGUGUCUGGUCUCCGUCUGUCUGUCCUGUGUGUCGGAUUUAGUCACUUUUUUAGUCUCAACUUAAAUGGAUGAUUUUAAAGUUGAUUAGUCUUGAGGCGUCCAAUUUUGAAUUCUGGUACCUUAUUUUGAAAUGGCUUUAAUUUAAAAAUGUAAUUUUGGUCUUGAAUCUGAGUUAUCAUAGUUGCAACUUGGACUGUUGACAAAAGUUCUAAAGUUCUUUCAAAGUCUGUAAAAAUGUAGUAACUGAUUAUGAUGAGCUAGACCAGGUCUUCCUUUAUUCUCCACUGGUAAUUGCUUUGAUAAGAUAACUGGAUCCUGAUUUGAUUAUGAAGCUUAACUUUUGAUUUAUAUGCAAGUGUAGUCACAUUAGAUUGUAGGUGUUAUUCAGCCCAUGGAUAAUGUUAUGAUAUACUUUAAAUCUGGCAUUUGUUGGCACACCUUUGAUAUCAUUUAAGUCUUAAACUUUACGCACUGCCAUCAGCCUUUGUUGUCGCUAACUGAAAUCAAACUCAAUAUUAAUGCUGACUUGUCUCACUCUGCCAAGUUUAUUUCCCUCUAAAGGAGUUGAACCUUUUUGUGUUCAUAGUCUUUUUGCGCGUCAUGUUGGGAGGCCUCCCAGCAGGGGAUUUUUAUCUUCCCCUGCAAAACUAUGCGUUACUCGUCUUAGGGAUGCAGGGCUAUCCUGCAUCGUUUCUUUCUUAAAUGAGAUUGUAGGUUUGAGGAUUAGAGCGCGUUUCUUUUCUUUAGGAGGACACAAACCUGGCAGAGAGACAACUCGGAUUAUUUAAGUGAAAGUUGCACCAAAUGUUCAAACUUUCGAUACGAUGACUUGAAAUAAAACUUUUAUUCUGUGGGCUGAAUUCAGACAGAAAUCAGACAGAAUUUGGCUUAAUGUUAAAGACUGUUGUGCAGCUGCAGCUUUUUAAUGUAUUUUUGGUGAUUUGAUUUGUUUCUUGGAUUGACUUGGUGUCUGGAGCUUUGUGGUUAACAGUGAUCAUGUAAACAUGUAAACACAAGUGGGCUUUUGCCUCUUAUUUGUGAAGCAGGCAGCUGGUUGAAAUGAUAGGACUUUAUGGCUUGCCCAAAAUGGGAUUUUUGAUAGAUCAUAGGGUUAACACCUCACUAUACACUAGCUAUUUAUGUGAAGUGUCUGUAGUCCAUUAUUACCCAUGACUUUCUUUCAAAUUUCACAAUUUAGGCAUCUUGUAGAGUCUUUAGGAAGAUGCUUAAUCCCAAUGUCUUGGUUGGUUGCAUGAGAAACUUCUAUCUCUUAGAUGUGUUGGCGAAGUUCCUCCUCUGAUUUUUGUAGACUUGCCCCAAAGUUUCUCUCCGCUUUAACUCUUGUUGAGCUUUGCAUUAAAUAAUUCCUCCAACUUGUCUCCAUAUCAAUUGUUUUCUCCCUGCAGAUUUCCACCACCCACUGCUGCUGUUGCCUCUGCUAAAGGUAGCCGUAUCCUGAUUCACUGCGUCUUCAUGUGUUGGGUAAGAAGUGUCAUUAGACUAUUAACAAUGUAAACACCUUUAAAUGCUUGAUCUAAUUUACCCAAAUGGUUCAUCAGUUUAGGACAAAAAAAUCAUUGAAUAUGACAUUGUUGGGGUCAGUAAUCUGACCUCCAAAUGUUUGGGAAACCAUGCAAAAGAUCGCAAGCUCUCUGCAUGACCCAACAGCAUCGAUGUUUGAGUUAUUUAAUUGCUCAAUUUUUAAAUCAGUCAAGAUUUUAUGAGCUGGGUCUUCUUCACACAACAGAGAACAAGGUAAAUUGAGUCGACUCGUAACAUGGUAAGGCAGUUUGUCUUUCCCCUUCUUCUCUUUGUGUGAGGAAAUCUGGCCACGGAUCCUGACUGAGUGGCAUACCAUGACUGUGCAGUCUACAAAAUCAGAUAAGGAUCCAUCUGAUUUUGUGACUCAGCCUGUCAUGAUUUGCUUUUAUCUUCCUCUGAAACAAAGGAUUGGAAUGGACAGGUUUGUAGUGUAAAUCACAUCACAUGUAGAUGAUGAAGCAUUUGUUUAAAUUGGAGUCAAGCAUUUUCAGGCGUCUGCUUUGUCAAUACUCUGGUGCCACGUCUUCCCAAACACACGAGAAGCUCUGAAUUGUGAAACUGCUGCCUCUUGCAGAUGUUACAACAGCAAUGGUUGUUGAAAGGCUGCAGGGAGAGAAAAUGAGAUCUGAGGACAGGAAAGUGGAAUUGAUUUCAUGCUUAGCAAAAUGAGGGUUUCAGCAGAAGACCUUUUUGUGGCGAGGCUACGGAAUCAGAAGGAACGUUUGUCUGGGCAACUGGGAGAUUUACAGUUUUUCAUGCAGCCAACCAAGACAUUGAGGUUAGCAUCAUCCCAAAUGGCUGGCAGAGAUUGCUUGUAACUGUCAGUGUAGGACAGGAAAGGCAGGUAUAGGUUAGGGAGGGCAUCCAUCGGUGAGCUCUGACUGGACGUGAGGACCUGUCACACUUGACCAGAGAUGAAUGCUGCAGCACAUUCCUGGAUCAGAGGACUCCAUGUUGGACACCACGACCCUGGAGAAGUCCCGUCCUGGAUGGCUGCAGUGAUGACCUAGCCCAAGAUGAACCGACCCUUCUACGACGAGGACGUCGCCCGAGAUGAACCGACCCUGCUACGACGAGGACUUCGCCAGAGAUGAACCGACCCUUCUACGACGAGGACUUCGCCCUAGAUGAACCGACCCUUCUACCACGAGGACUUCGCCCAAGAUGAACCAACCCUUCUACGAGAAGGACUUCGCUCGAGAUGAACCGACCUUUUCCACCUCUUUUCCACGGGAUGUCUUCAGAUGUUGGACCUUGCCAAACUGUACACAUGCCUCAAUGGCUGCUACGUCACUCUGCCCAACAGGACAUGGUCACCGAGAUUUUUUUUAUUUUUUAAAUGGACAUUUAACCCCACCCUGUCCCCUCUGACCCACAACCACACAUGACAAAACACUGUACAUGUGAUGCAUCACCACACUAAAAUAUGCAUGACCCAACAGCAUCGAUGUUUGAGUUAUUUCAUUGCUCAAUUUUUAAAUCAGUCAAGAUUUUAUGAGCUGGGUCUUCUUCACACAACAGAGAACAAGGUAAAUUGAGUCGACUCGUAACAUGGUAAGGCAUUUCGUCCUUCCCCUUCUUCUCUGUGUGUGUGAGGAAAUCUGGCCACGGAUCCUGACUGAGUGGCAUACCAUGACUGUGCAGUUUACAAAAUCAGACAAGGAUCCAUCUGAUUUUGUGACUCGGCCUGUCAUGAUAUGCUUUUAUCUUCCUCUGAAACAAAGGAUUGGAAUGGACAGGUUUGUAGUGUAAAUCACAUCACAUGUAGAUGGUGAUGGUGUAGAGACACUGCUACUUUCAGCCUGUAAUGUUAGACAUUGAAAACUUGUAUUUAUUGCCUUCUUUAUAUCAAGUAAAACUUUUGUUCUUAACUUUAUGGUUGACUUGUAUUUUUUCUAUGAUGAGUGUUAUUUUGACAAGUUAGUGCUUUGAACUUAAAGAUGUGGAAUUAUUUUAAAAAGAAUUGCACUGAUCUGUUACUGUAGACUUGGCACCUUUUGACACUGCUCCAAGUGUUUGGUUGAUCUUAACCAGAAAACUCAACCCUAUAUGGAUUUGUACAAGGUUUUAAAGGGAAUAUAAUAAAUUGGACUCUAAAGCAGGGAAUGCUACAGUGGAUGGUGAUGCUGCUACUUGCCCCCAUCUCACAACUUCCUUAC